RNAcentral lists this unclassified non-coding RNA (337 nucleotides) under soil metagenome. Its description in RNAcentral is "partial contains 5.8S ribosomal RNA, internal transcribed spacer 2, and large subunit ribosomal RNA". The stretch from base 1 to 121 matches the Rfam family "5.8S ribosomal RNA", at positions 35 to 154 of the family's 154-position model. The record is from RNAcentral.
GAUGAAGAAACGUAGCGAAAUGCGAUAAGUAAUGUGAAUUGCAGAAUUCAGUGAAUCAUCGAAUCUUUGAACGCACAUUGCGCCCGCCAGUAUUCUGGCGGGCAUGCCUGUUCGAGCGUCAUUUCAACCAUCAAGCCCCAGGCUUGUGUUGGGGACCUGCGGCUGCCGCAGGCCCUGAAAACCAGUGGCGGGCUCGCUGUCACACCGGGCGUAGUAGAUUUUAUCUCGCUCAGGGCGUGCUGCGGGUUCCGGCCGUUAAAAAGCCUUUUUUACCCAAGGUUGACCUCGGAUCAGGUAGGAAGACCCGCUGAACUUAAGCAUAUCAAUAAGCGGAGGA